UAAUAUCUCUUUUACUUGACCCAUGCCAAACACCUGAAAUUUAUUCCUCUGGGAUUUGCUUGCUUAUAUGCUCCCAUAAAAUUGUGUUCAGACUAAUGUCUAUGGAUGUAAUCUCUAUGGAAAAUUAUGUCCUUCUAUAAGUGUGUAAACCCUUUGUUGGCCUACCCGCGGUAGUUAGUAGUAGAACUUUGUUUCAACAGGUUCGGUUUAAGCUUCAUAUCAUAUGCUGUGGUCUCGUUUUCAUUUUUUGUUUCUUCCUUUAGGCAUCUGCCUGAUGCAUUAAAUAGAUAUCAGGUAUAUGAGGUAAUUGUUACUUGGAAAGAACAAUGUUUUUAUUCCUGAUAGACACCACAUUAAUGCUAGAGUUAACAUAGAUGGUCUAGUUUGCUUAGACAAUAUGGAUGAAGUUCCAUAUUUUUUCCUUUUUGGAGAGAAGAUCCACAUGUAAUUUUUGCUUAAUCAGUCAGGGGUGUAUAAGAAACACAUUUGGAAGUAUGCCUGUGUACAUAAGAAUAUUUUUCAUAUAAACAUGUAGAAAACAUGGGCGUGUAUGCUCUAUUUGUGUGCAUCUAUAUGUAUCUAUUUGAACAUAAGGUUC
RNAcentral lists this long non-coding RNA (598 nucleotides) under Amborella trichopoda. RNAcentral describes it as "long non-coding RNA (ATRI_LNC001360)". Lineage: Eukaryota; Viridiplantae; Streptophyta; Magnoliopsida; Amborellales; Amborellaceae. The record is from RNAcentral.